CACGUAAGGGGCAAGCGUUGUUCGGAAUUAUUGGGCGUAAAGGGCAUGUAGGCGGUUUGGUAAGCCUGGUGUGAAAGGCUGCAGCUUAACUGUAGCAUUGCAUUGGGUACUGCUAGACUUGAAUCACGGAGGGGAAACUAGAAUUCCAGGUGUAGGGGUGGAAUCUGUAGAUAUCUGGAAGAAUACCGGUGGCGAAGGCGGGUUUCUGGCCGAUGAUUGACGCUGAGGUGCGAAAGUGCGGGGAGCAAAC
Molecule: ribosomal RNA, 250 nt
Filed under: uncultured bacterium
Lineage: Bacteria
Description: partial 16S ribosomal RNA
Rfam family: Bacterial small subunit ribosomal RNA
Source: RNAcentral